RNAcentral lists this ribosomal RNA (44 nucleotides) under Phytophthora citricola. RNAcentral describes it as "partial 28S ribosomal RNA". The record is from RNAcentral. Lineage: Eukaryota; Oomycota; Peronosporomycetes; Peronosporales; Peronosporaceae.
UUGGACCUGAUAUCAGGCAAGAUUACCCGCUGAACUUAAGCAUU